Molecule: ribosomal RNA, 596 nt
Filed under: Pediococcus pentosaceus
Lineage: Bacteria; Bacillati; Bacillota; Bacilli; Lactobacillales; Lactobacillaceae
Description: bacterial SSU rRNA
Rfam family: Bacterial small subunit ribosomal RNA
Source: RNAcentral
GUUAAUUGAUUAUGACGUACUUGUACUGAUUGAGAUUUUAACACGAAGUGAGUGGCGAACGGGUGAGUAACACGUGGGUAACCUGCCCAGAAGUAGGGGAUAACACCUGGAAACAGAUGCUAAUACCGUAUAACAGAGAAAACCGCAUGGUUUUCUUUUAAAAGAUGGCUCUGCUAUCACUUCUGGAUGGACCCGCGGCGUAUUAGCUAGUUGGUGAGGUAAAGGCUCACCAAGGCAGUGAUACGUAGCCGACCUGAGAGGGUAAUCGGCCACAUUGGGACUGAGACACGGCCCAGACUCCUACGGGAGGCAGCAGUAGGGAAUCUUCCACAAUGGACGCAAGUCUGAUGGAGCAACGCCGCGUGAGUGAAGAAGGGUUUCGGCUCGUAAAGCUCUGUUGUUAAAGAAGAACGUGGGUAAGAGUAACUGUUUACCCAGUGACGGUAUUUAACCAGAAAGCCACGGCUAACUACGUGCCAGCAGCCGCGGUAAUACGUAGGUGGCAAGCGUUAUCCGGAUUUAUUGGGCGUAAAGCGAGCGCAGGCGGUCUUUUAAGUCUAAUGUGAAAGCCUUCGGCUCAACCGAAGAAGUGCAUU